UUAAAGUUUGGCUCUAGCUUACCUUAUAGAUACAUCUUUAUAAAAUACAUGGUUUUUUAAUAACAAGGCAAAGCCUAAGUAACUUGCAUUAAAUUUAAAAUUUGCUUGCAGCUUACCUUAAGGAUUAUUAUUUGAUACAUAAUAACACUAACAUUUGCUAACCCAGUAUUGAAGAUUAAAAAUAAAAGAAAUUUAGAUUUAGUAAUAGAUAUAUAUCCUUGGCUAAGUCUGUGCCAGCAGCUGCGGUUAUACAGACAAGGAGAUUUAUAAAUGAAUCGGUAAAAAGGACAGUUAUAGACUACCAGUAAGUUAAAUCGUUUCAUGGAGAGGUAGAAUUCACACAUGGCUCAUUUUUCAAUUAACUUAGUACCCUAGAAGCUGUGAAAUUGCUAAUUAAAACCAGGAUUAGAUACCCUGCUAUUAGUAUUAUAAAUUUUUAUAACUAACCACCAGGGGAUUACAGAGUUACCUCUGAAACCCAAAGAGCUUGGCGGUACCUCAAACCCUAUUUGGGGAACCUGUUCUAUAAUCGAUAAUCCGCGCAGGACCUCACUCUUUUUACUUAGUCUGUAUACCGUCGUCGUCAGACAACUUUUAAGAAAACAGUAGUUCUCUACAAUAAACUAUUUAUAGACGUCAGAUCAAGGUGCAGCCGAUAGAAGAGAAAGAAAUGGGUUACAAUUUUAUAAUUAAAAUACGGAUUUUUAAUUGAAAAACUUCAAUGAAGGAGGACUUAAAAGUAAUUCUAAUAAGAAUGAAAAAAUGAAUAAGGCUCUGAGGUGUGUACACAUCGCCCGUCGCUCUCGCUGAAAAGUGAGAUAAGUCGUAACAUAGUAAGAGUAAUGGAAGUUGCCCUUAGCUGAA
RNAcentral lists this non-coding RNA (864 nucleotides) under Nerita melanotragus. RNAcentral's name for it is "12S ribosomal RNA". The stretch from base 453 to 858 matches the Rfam family "Microsporidia small subunit ribosomal RNA", at positions 752 to 1303 of the family's 1311-position model. Lineage: Eukaryota; Metazoa; Mollusca; Gastropoda; Cycloneritida; Neritidae. The record is from RNAcentral.